This 1495-nucleotide long non-coding RNA is filed under the name Homo sapiens (human). RNAcentral's name for it is "family with sequence similarity 230 member I, transcript variant 3 (FAM230I)". The record is from RNAcentral. Lineage: Eukaryota; Metazoa; Chordata; Mammalia; Primates; Hominidae.
CUGUGCUGAGUUUUUCGAAGGUCAGAGCAGAUUGAACCUUUGUGCUUUCAUUUUUCCUGAUUUUGAUUUUUCUUAUGGGGAUCCACUUUUCCUGCAUUCGAGGUGACUUGAAGAAGCCUUCCAAAAAGCGUGUGAAAAGGGAGCCCUACUCUACUACCAUGUUACAGGUGACUUCAUUGAGCCCAAUCAAUGAAAUUUUGAGAAGAUACAGCCUGUACACCAACCAGCAUUGGAGGCAUCAUGGCUUCUGGAGAAAGAAGAUACAGCCACAAGAAGCCUCUGAGGAGCCUCCAGCUCACAAGGACAGAGGAGGUGGAGAGAGGCCAGUCAACGCGAGGGUGGUGCGGGUGGCCCCUCUGAGGCCUGGUUUUGCUCUUUGUGGGUACGCUGUACAAGACAUCUCUAAAGAAGACACUGUAUAUGACAUCUGUAAUGAGGAUGCUGUAGACAUCUCUGAUGAGGACACUGUAGAUAUCUCUAAUGAGGCUUCUGUACAUGACAUCUCUAAUGAGGCUGCUGUAUGUGACAUCUCUAACGAUGCCGUAAACAUCUCUAAUGAGGCUGCUGUACGUGACAUCUCUAAUGACGCUGUAGACAUCUGUAAUGAGGCUGCUGUACAUGACAUCUCUAAUGAGGACACUAUAGAAGACAUUUCUUAUGAGGACACUGUAUACGACAUCACUAAUGAGGAUGCUGUACGAUACCUCUGUAAAAAAGAUGCUACCAAGGAGCCAUUGACACUGGAGAAUGAUUUGAUUGUGGAGAGCAUGUCUGAUGACGAGGAUUUUGCAGCUUAAAGGGAGCUCCCGGGGUGAGUGAUGGAGGCGGGAUCGGACCCUGGCAGUUUGACGGCAACACCUGUGUUCCUCUGCACUGGGCCGUGGAUGACAUUACACACCUUGGGCUUAUGAUUUCUUCUCGGGUUUGAAACAUGCCCCCAGAUGAGCAAGACGGGGCUGCCACAUUGACGGAGCAGCUGCGGGACACACCCAAGAAACCUCCUGGAGAACACAGGGGACAUUCACGGCUGGAGGCUUCAUCUAUGGCCGGGGGCUUCAUCCAUGAGCUGGGGACUUCAUCCAUGGGCUGGGGACUUCAUCCAUGACUGGGGACCUCAUCCACGUCUGGAGACUUCAUCCGCGACUGGGGGCUUCAUCCAUGGGCUGGGGGAUUCAUCCACGGGCUGGGGGCUUCAUCCAUCACUGGGGGCUUCAUCCACGGGCUGGGGGCUUCAUCCAUGACUGGGGGCUUCAUCCACGGGCUGGGGGCUUCAUCCAUGGGCUGGGGGCUUCAUCCAUGACUGGGGGCUUCAUCCACGGGCUGGGGGCUUCAUCCAUGACUGGGGACUUCAUCCACGACUGGAGACUUCAUCCAUAGGCUGGGGGCUUCAUCUACAGCUGGAGACUUCAUCCACAGCAGGGGCUUCAUCCUUGGUUGGUUUGCCUGAUCUGUAUCUGAGCCACAGAUACAGAUUAUUAAACAGAUAAUAAUUUUA